GGCAAUGUGGCUUAGUGGAAAGAGCAUGGGCUUGGGAGCCAUAGGUGAUGGGUUCUAAUCCCAGCUCUGCUA
RNAcentral lists this transfer RNA (72 nucleotides) under Ornithorhynchus anatinus (platypus). It matches the Rfam family "tRNA". From Rfam's summary of the family: Transfer RNA (tRNA) molecules are approximately 80 nucleotides in length. Their secondary structure includes four short double-helical elements and three loops (D, anti-codon, and T loops). Lineage: Eukaryota; Metazoa; Chordata; Mammalia; Monotremata; Ornithorhynchidae. The record is from Rfam by way of RNAcentral.